Molecule: RNA transcript, 4261 nt
Organism: Zea mays
Lineage: Eukaryota; Viridiplantae; Streptophyta; Magnoliopsida; Poales; Poaceae
Exons: 13
Source: RefSeq, a predicted model, not a curated record
ACCGUUUUCAGUCCGUUUGUGGGAACCCUCACGCACUACGCCGCCGCGUCGUCGGCUUCUCCGCUCUUCACCUGCUCCCUCUCGACGAACUACGAAGCCAUCCCCGCCUCCGCAAACCGCCCCGAGCCUCCGACGUAUUCCCUGGCCAGUAGGCCACUUCCCUUCUGGCCUUCCUACUCUCUCCACGCUCCACAGCUGUGAGCCUGUGACCCUCCGCUUCGACGCGGACGCCGCAGGCCGUUGACGAUACAACGCACCCCGCCGAAAGGGGCUGGGACUCCUUUUCCGUUUCCUUCGCACAUCUCCUCGCUUUCCGCCGAGAGAACUUUUUUCAGUCAAUCAUAAUAAUAAUAAUAAAAAAUUCGCCGUUCGGCCCCGAAUUUCCCCUCUGUUUCUGCUUCAUCUGACGCAUCUGAUCCAUUCCCCCUUCUCGACGCGGAUCGAAUCACGAGCGUGUGGCGGCGGCUGUGGUGGUUAGGGACUUAGGGUUGGAGCUCCUGGAGGAUGGCGAGCCACGGCGCCGGGGUGGCUGCUGGAUCUGACGCCCCGCACGCUGAGGUUGUCAGUAUGGGUCAAACAAAUCUAUCUCCAUAUCCUCUUUCUUCCAGUCAUCAUUCAUGGUCCUCUGCAACUGGGUCAGCAACGGUUUCAUGGAACAAUACAGUGGACAAACUUAGCCAAGAUACAGUUUACUAUGAUCCACAAAGGGAUGUAUCAGAUUCAGGAGGGAAUCAAAAUGUAGAAAGUAGCGUGCCUCAUGUUGCCCAGUCGAGUAGGGGGAUGGCAGAUGUAGCCCAUUCUCACAUGUCUUACUCUAGUUCAGAUCAACAUGUCUAUAACCCUGUAGAAUAUGCCAACUAUUAUUAUAGCUACCCACAAGCAACAAAUGAUUCUUCUGUCCAGCAAGGAGCAAACCAACAUCCAGGUGCAGCUUAUCAGCCUCUUACUUCAUUUCAAAAUUCAGGGUCUUACAUUGAUCCUACAAGUAACACAUAUUACAAUGCUGGGGGUCAUCAGACCGUGCCAGGAUAUGGAAGCAGCAGCUACUAUUAUCAGAACAACACAUGGAAUGGUGGAAGCACAGGGAAUACUUUUGCUCAAUCAUACCAGAACUACUCAUCAUCUGAUACAAAUGCACAACAAAGUUCUACUUCAGUGCCUGCCAAUUCUUUACCAUAUCAGCAGCAGUAUAACCAGUGGCCAUACUAUUACAAUCAAUCUGUGCCAAGUGCUUCUAGCAAUCCAGUUGCUGGGAACAGUACUACAGAUAACUUAACUGGUAACAUGCCUUCUGGCUAUUCAUAUCCUAGUAGCCAGCCACCUCCACCAGGAACAACAUCAUGGAAAAGUAAUUCAGUUGCUUCUGUUGCACCUCCUAUGCAGGUUCCAGGUGUUCCAGGACAGCAAAGUCAAUAUGGCAACCAGGCAGAAGGCCAUUAUAACCAGGGACCUGGUGUGCAAUGGUCUCAAAAUCAUUAUGCCUACCAGACACAGCCAUACCCUCAGAAGACUAAUUCCAAUCAUCCACAACUAAGCAACCAUGAAGAUCAACAGGAGACUGUAUAUUCUAACAGUCCAAGCACAAAUCUUUCGUCGAACCAUGUUUCUGAAAAUUUUAAACCAAACUUGCAGGAUUCUGUGACAAUGGACACUUCCAGCGAAGGCAAAAUACAGGUUCCUAUAAAUCCUCAAAUUGCCCCAGGUUUCUCUAUGGUGAUACCAAAGAAUGAGAAGAAACAUUCUGGACUUGAUUUAUCAAAGAAACCUGCCUAUGUUAGUGUCUCCAUGCCUACGAAUGAUGCUAAAGCAACUCAAGUUGGUCUUGAUGCUAGAUUACCCUUUUCACUCCGUAACUAUGCUACGAGGAACCUCAAUCGUUGCAAGAAUGAUGCCCAGAGGGAGGCCUGCCGAAGCAUAAUGAAUGAGAUCACAAAAAAAGCUUUUGCUGAGGGAACCCUUCUUACUAAGAACUGGGACACUGAACCACUAUUUCCUUUGCCUGAAAGUACUGUGGGCAUGACUGGAACAAGCAGUGUAAACAAUUUAAGUCCCUUCUCAUCAGUUUCCACCCCAAGGAAACGUGUGAAAAGUAGAUGGGAGCCUGUUGUGGAUGAAAAUGUUACCAAUAAGGUGGAACAAAUAGCAAAAGGAUUGAUCGGCAGUAAUGUCCACAGUACUUCGGACCCUAAAAAUAGAAUGGGUAGCAGUUGGGAUCAUAGGAAGUUUCUCCAGUCUUCUCAAGCACCUUCAAAUAAAGUCAAUCAGAGGUCUGCCAAGAAGCAAAAAAUGGGUAGUAAUUUGAGUCAAAUACAGAAUGGAAAUGCUUCAAGUGACAGUGAGAAGGAACAUGAUCUAACCAAAUAUUAUGCCAGUGCAACUGCACUAGCAAAUUCGCCUGAGGAAAAGAAACGUAGGGAGCAUAGAUCCAAGCGUUUUGAAAAGAGUAAAGAUUCAUCAUUUAAAUCAAGAAAUGUUUCUGCAAAUAAAGAUGCUAUGACUAAUUUGCGUGCAAGAAGGGCAAUUUUGUCUUUUCGUACUAGAACCUAUGAAGGCGGCACUUUGGCUGUUGAGGAUAUGGAUUGGGAUGCACUGACAGUCAAAGGAACAUGUCAGGAAAUUGAGAAAAGAUAUCUACGACUUACAGAAGCACCUGAUCCUGCCAAAAUAAGGCCAGAAGAUGUCCUGGAGAAGGCCCUUGCAAUGGUUGAAACAUCACAAAAGAAUUAUCUUUACAAGUGUGAUCAACUAAAAUCUAUCCGCCAAGAUCUUACAGUUCAGAGAAUCCAGAAUGAACUGACUAUAAAGGUUUAUGAAACACAUGCCCGAUUAGCUAUGCAAGCUGGUGAUUUACAUGAAUUUAACCAGUUGCAAAAUACAACCCAGAAGGCUAGAAAUCUACACUGGUGCUACAUGAUUGUCAUAGUUUUAACUAUUUCUGCGUCAAUAACUAUUGCAGUGCCAGUCACAACUGAAGAGGCUAUAUGCACAAGGAAUCAAGGGUUGCUAUUUUGAAUUUUCUGCUUACAAUUUGCUGUGUGUCAUGCUACACUCUAAUAAUAAACGAGACUUGCUGUCAUCAAUGGCAAGCUUAUCAAAAGAAGCCAAACAAGAUGCAGCUGUUAAGCAUGCCCUUGCAGUUCAUGCUUCUGUUUUAUCUGGCAAUUAUGUUCUAUUUUUCAAACUGUACAAGAAGGCGCCCAAUUUGAACUCAUGCCUCAUGGAUCUAUAUGUGGAGCGGAUGCGCUUCGAAGCUAUGAAAUGCAUGUCUAGGUCAUAUCGCCCAACUGUACCUGUGGGAUAUGUUGCACAGAUUUUGGGGUUCAUGAGAACUGAUACAGGCUGUGCAACCAAUGGGGAUGAUGGAUUAGAAGAAUGCGAAAAAUGGUUGAAAGCGCAUGGGAUAGUUCUUUCAGAAGGUAACAGUGGGGAAUUACAAAUAGACAUGAAGGCUUCGUCUUCUACACUUUACAUGCCAGAGCCAGAGAAUGCGGUUGCACAUGGUGAUGCAUCACUUGCUGUUGAUGACUUUUUGGCACGGACUGACGGGCAUCUUAAAAGGUGCAGCAGCGAUGAGCCAACGGUGGAUACUCCGUAGUGUAGUAUAUUGGUGCUGCUGUGGCAGUCGUGCCGAGAUGUGGACGCACUGCACUUCUCCCGUAGAAACUGCAAAGGGGGCAUGAAAUGGAGCUGCCCAACGAAGCUCGCGGAGCUAAGAGAGUCGGAACAACUGAACAAGGAUGUGGUCAUCGGGUUUUGCCACUUGCGCAAAUUGAUCCAGUCAUCCAGAGUUGCACCGCGAUGAGCUUCGUUGAGAAGACAGAGAAGAAAGCAGCAUUACCCGACAUGAGCAGAAGUUUUUAUGUCGUGGUGGUUUGCUCACAAGGGCCUGUUCCGAUAGGAGUAGAUUGAAGGUAUUAGAAGAUAUUAAAUUUCUUAGUCUUGUUUGGAAGUAAGGGGAUUGGAGGAACUGAAGAUUUGAAGGGGCCAAAAUCCUAGAAGGGGAUUUUAGCCUUGGCUGAUUUGAUGACCCCUCCAAUCUCUCUCAAUCUCCUUAUCAUCAAAUCAGCCCUGCCUCGAUUCUCUUCUCCCAAACAAGCCAGCCCUUACUAGUAAAAAUUGAAUAGAAAAAAAGAUUUAAUCCUCCUCAAUCUCCUUCAACCAAACAAGGUCUAACUUGCAUUAAGCGUAGAAAGUAUUGUGAAAAACAGCUACAGCUUUGAAGCAUACAUCAUACAUUAUCUUUUCCGGUGCUCUUUUUUUC